Molecule: ribosomal RNA, 397 nt
Filed under: uncultured bacterium
Lineage: Bacteria
Description: bacterial SSU rRNA
Rfam family: Bacterial small subunit ribosomal RNA
Source: RNAcentral
GACGAACGCUGGCGGCGUGCUUAACACAUGCAAGUCGAGCGGUAAGGCCCUUUCGGGGGUACACGAGCGGCGAACGGGUGAGUAACACGUGGGUGACCUGCCUCUAGCUCUGGGAUAAGCCUGGGAAGCUGGGUCUAAUACCGGAUAUGACCUCGCGGUGCAUGUUGCGGGGUGGAAAGCCUUGUGCGGCUAGGGGAUGGGCCCGCGGCCUAUCAGCUUGUUGGUGGGGUGANGGCCUACCAAGGCGACGACGGGUAGCCGGCCUGAGAGGGCGACCGGCCACACUGGGACUGAGACACGGCCCAGACUCCUACGGGAGGCAGCAGUGGGGAAUCUUGCGCAAUGGGCGAAAGCCUGACGCAGCGACGCCGCGUGAGGGAUGACGGCCUGGUGUAAC